GGCUUAGAGUUUGAUCAUGGCUCAGGAUGAACGCUGGCGGCGUGCCUAACACAUGCAAGUCGAGCGAAGCACUUUGCUCUGAUUUCUUCGGAUUGAAGAGUGAUUUGACUGAGCGGCGGACGGGUGAGUAACGCGUGGGUAACCUGCCUCACACAGGGGGAUAACAGUUAGAAAUGACUGCUAAUACCGCAUAAGGCCACAGCACCGCAUGGUGCAGGGGUAAAAACUCCGGUGGUGUGAGAUGGGCCCGCGUCUGAUUAGUUAGUUGGCGGGGUAACGGCCCACCAAGGCGACGAUCAGUAGCCGACCUGAGAGGGUGACCGGCCACAUUGGGACUGAGACACGGCCCAAACUCCUACGGGAGGCAGCAGUGGGGAAUAUUGCACAAUGGGGGAAACCCUGAUGCAGCGACGCCGCGUGAGCGAAGAAGUAUUUCGGUAUGUAAAGCUCUAUCAGCAGGGAAGAAAUUGACGGUACCUGACUAAGAAGCACCGGCUAAAUACGUGCCAGCAGCCGCGGUAAUACGUAUGGUGCAAGCGUUAUCCGGAUUUACUGGGUGUAAAGGGAGCGUAGACGGAGCAGCAAGUCUGGAGUGAAAACCCGGGGCUCAACCCCGGGACUGCUUUGGAACUGUUGUUCUAGAGUGCUGGAGAGGUAAGUGGAAUUCCUAGUGUAGCGGUGAAAUGCGUAGAUAUUAGGAGGAACACCAGUGGCGAAAGCGGCUUACUGGACAGUAACUGACGUUGAGGCUCGAAAGCGUGGGGAGCAAACAGGAUUAGAUACCCUGGUAGUCCACGCCGUAAACGAUGACUGCUAGGUGUUGGGUGGCAAAGCCAUUCGUGCGCAGCUAACGCAAUAAGCAGUC
RNAcentral lists this ribosomal RNA (865 nucleotides) under uncultured bacterium. RNAcentral describes it as "bacterial SSU rRNA". It matches the Rfam family "Bacterial small subunit ribosomal RNA", at positions 1 to 869 of the family's 1533-position model. The record is from RNAcentral.